Glycine soja is the source of this 887-nucleotide long non-coding RNA. RefSeq lists it as uncharacterized. The transcript is spliced from 4 exons. The record is from RefSeq and is a predicted model, not a curated record. NCBI's taxonomy places the organism in Eukaryota, Viridiplantae, Streptophyta, Magnoliopsida, Fabales, Fabaceae.
UUUAAUUCUCCUUAAUUCCAGAACUUUCUUCUUUCUCUUCCAUUUCUCUUGCAUCCGUCCAGAUUCUUCCCCUCCUCUUUCUUCUGUCUCUUUCCCUUUCUCUCACUGCUCAUUUCUUCUUCUUCCUCUAUUCUUUUUUUACUCUCACUUGAACUACAAUGGUAGAGGAUGUGUGUUUCCUCUACAAGAGAAGGUGGAAGAACACAUUAAAGCUGCGAUUUUUAUCUCAAAAAAUCCAAGAGUACAGAGAAGGUGGAAGAACACAUUAGAGCUGCGAUUUUUAUCUCAAAAAAUCCAAGAGUACAGACUACAGUAACAACGGCGGUGCUGAAGGUCAGGACGGUGUUGAAUAAUAAAGGUGUCAUUUUGAACUAUUUUCCCCCUUUUUUGGGGCUGUUAUUUGUCUCUAUUUACAAGGUUUUAAUUUUGUUUGUUGUUAUACAUGUUUUCUUUUUAAUAAUAUUUAUUUUUUGUUACUAAUUUUUCAACUGUGUUUUUGGUUCCUUUUUAUUUUCCCGGGCUAUCGACGAAGAAGCAUUCAGCAGACAAGUUGUUUUUAUUUGGAAGGUUUUAAUUUUGUUUGUUGUUAUGCAUGUUUUUUUUAAUAAUAGUUAUUUUUUCUUACUGAUUUUAUAACUCUGUUUUUGGUUUUUUUAUUUAUUUUCUUGGGCUAUCGACGAAAAAGCAUCAUGCAGGCAAGUUUUUUUCCCUUUUGUUGUUAUGCAUGUUUGUUUUUGGUACUAUUUGUCUCUAUUUGCAAUGUUUUAAUUUUGUUUGUUGUUAUGCAUGUUUCCUUCUUAAUAAUAGUUACUUUUUCUUACUGAUUUUUACAACUCUGUUUUUUGUUCCUUUUUAUUUUCCCGGACUAUCGCGAAGAAGCAUCCACC